UGUUUGUUACUUUCUCUUAGGGCUUUUUCGCAACCCCAUCCAUUGCCAACACAAACAAGGUUGCAACAUCUCCCUCCAGUCUGUGUUCCUCUGCUUUAAAUGUCAACCAGCCACAUAGCACUGCUCACUUGCUUAAUUGGGCAAAAUACCUGCUGUGGCAGCCCUGUGCCUUGACUGCCUCCAGGAGAAAGUUUCUUGGGAAUGGUGACGGAACCUGCAAGUCGGUCUUAGUCACGUUGAUAGCAGAUACCAAGAGUCUUGCGCAGCCCUUGUAGCCAGGUGCUUUCCAUGUUCACUCCAGGUUGCUGAAACAAGAAGUGUGUCCAGCCUCCAGGGCUCGCCAGCAGCUAUUGACUGAUACGAGCACACUGUCCUCGGUGGCAGGAGGGAGCAACUUGCUUUAUCUAUGCAUUCCCUGGCAAGCAGCAUCAGUGGAGAAAGAGACAUGUCUCACUGGCCAUGUAAGGUGUCCAGUCCCUGGCAAGCCAAAUCAUUCUACAAGCUCUGAAACUGAAGACACAAAAUCAGCAAUGGAACAGUGCUGCUUGAGUCAGAGGUGCAAAGAAAUCAGCUCUCCACUCCAUGAUCCAUCCUCCAGCUCACAGCUGGUACAAAUGGGUGUGACUCAUUGCACAGCCAGAGGUUAUAAUGAAGUAUCCCACUCAUCCUUUAGCUCACCCUUUGUUCGAGACAAUGCGGAUUGCGGAAGGUUUCUGAGGAGCCAAAAGUUGGUGAAGGCUCCUGAGUGUCCCCAUUUGCCAUGCAGAGGUUCAGAGUUAGCAAUGCAGCCUGGCUGCCUACGUGCUCUCAGCUAGAGACUUUUAAAGAGCAACAGCAGGAGUAAAACUGGCCAUGUCCUGCUCAUGAGGCUCCUGCUCAGCUGCUCUGUAGCUUCCCCCCACCCGGAGGGAGGACAGGCAAGGGGAGGUGACAACCUUCAGCAAAGGUUAAGGCUGGAAAAGAAGGAAGUGUCAGCUCAAUCAGGUCAGCUCAGCCAACCAACUGCUGCUGUAAUCCCUCUGCCUCAGGUCCCUGUGCUGUUCUGCUCGUGCUCUGAAUGCUACUGUAUGAGCAGCAGCCUUGUCCCCACAGUACGGUCAGCCUGCAGCAUCCAGACAGGGAGAUGGGGAAAAAGGGUAAAGAGAAUCUCCCAGAACUGUUUCCAGAUACUCCUCUUGCAGUGUGUUUCAGGAGCAUGCACUUUGAGAUGGACUUUCCUCCAGCAGUUCAGAAGCCCAGACUUGGCACCCUCUGAUUUCUCCAGAAGAAGGCUGAGAGCUAGAUAUGGAUCAAUUCUUAUGAUGAAGCUCAUCUCCAUAAUCACAGCAAACCCAGAAGCUUUGAGAAGCUGUCAGUGAUACGACCCCAGUUCUCUCUGCCCAGGUCUGAGGUGCCUCUUCUGGUAUGGGAGCAACUGAGUCUCACCAAUCUGUCAGCAACCAGGAGGAAGCCAGGAAACAAAUAAACAAUAAAAGUUGGUGCUGC
Molecule: long non-coding RNA, 1485 nt
Organism: Poecile atricapillus (Black-capped chickadee)
Lineage: Eukaryota; Metazoa; Chordata; Aves; Passeriformes; Paridae
Exons: 6
Source: RefSeq, a predicted model, not a curated record